Molecule: ribosomal RNA, 497 nt
Filed under: uncultured bacterium
Lineage: Bacteria
Description: partial 16S ribosomal RNA
Rfam family: Bacterial small subunit ribosomal RNA
Source: RNAcentral
GAUGAACGCUGGCGGCGUGCCUAAUACAUGCCAGUCGAGCGAACGGACGAGAAGCUUGCUUCUCUGAUGUUAGCGGCGGACGGGUGAGUAACACGUGGAUAACCUACCUAUAAGACUGGGAUAACUUCGGGAAACCGGAGCUAAUACCGGAUAAUAUUUUGAACCGCAUGGUUCAAAAGUGAAAGACGGUCUUGCUGUCACUUAUAGAUUGAUCCGCGCUGCAUUAGCUAGUUGGUAAGGUAACGGCUUACCAAGGCAACGAUGCAUAGCCGACCUGAGAGGGUGAUCGGCCACACUGGAACUGAGACACGGUCCAGACGCCUACGGGAGGCAGCAGUAGGGAAUCUUCCGCAAUGGGCGAAAGCCUGACGGAGCAACGCCGCGUGAGUGAUGAAGGUCUUCGGAUCGUAAAACUCUGUUAUUAGGGAAGAACAUAUGUGUAAGUAACUGUGCACAUCUUGACGGUACCUAAUCAGAAAGCCACGGCUAACUACGUG